GAUGAACGCUGGCGGCGUGCCUAAUACAUGCAAGUCGAGCGAACGGACGAGAAGCUUGCUUCUCUGAUGUUAGCGGCGGACGGGUGAGUAACACGUGGAUAACCUACCUAUAAGACUGGGAUAACUUCGGGAAACCGGAGCUAAUACCGGAUAAUAUUUUGAACCGCAUGGUUCAAAGGUGAAAGACGGUCUUGCUGUCACUUAUAGAUGGAUCCGCGCUGCAUUAGCUAGUUGGUAAGGUAACGGCUUACCAAGGCAACGAUGCAUAGCCGACCUGAGAGGGUGAUCGGCCACACUGGAACUGAGACACGGUCCAGACUCCUACGGGAGGCAGCAGUAGGGAAUCUUCCGCAAUGGGCGAAAGCCUGACGGAGCAACGCCGCGUGAGUGAUGAAGGUCUUCGGAUCGUAAAACUCUGUUAUUAGGGAAGAACAUAUGUGUAAGUAACUGUGCACAUCUUGACGGUACCUAAUCAGAAAGCCACGGCUAACUACGUGCCAGCAGCCGCGGUAAUACGUAGGUGGCAAGCGUUAUCCGGAAUUAUUGGGGGUAAAGCGCGCGUAGGCGGUUUUUUAGUCUGAUGUGAAAGCCCACGGCUCAACCGUGGAGGGUCAUUGGAAACUGGAAAACUUGAGUGCAGAAGAGGAAAGUGGAAUUCCAUGUGUAGCGGUGAAAUGCGCAGAGAUAUGGAGGAACACCAGUGGCGAAGGCGACUUUCUGGUCUGUAACUGACGCUGAUGUGCGAAAGCGUGGGGAUCAAACAGGAUUAGAUACCCUGGUAGUCCACGCCGUAAACGAUGAGUGCUAAGUGUUAGGGGGUUUCCGCCCCUUAGUGCUGCAGCUAACGCAUUAAGCACUCCGCCUGGGGAGUACGACCGCAAGGUUGAAACUCAAAGGAAUUGACGGGGACCCGCACAAGCGGUGGAGCAUGUGGUUUAAUUCGAAGCAACGCGAAGAACCUUACCAAAUCUUGACAUCCUUUGACAACUCUAGAGAUAGAGCCUUCCCCUUCGGGGGACAAAGUGACAGGUGGUGCAUGGUUGUCGUCAGCUCGUGUCGUGAGAUGUUGGGUUAAGUCCCGCAACGAGCGCAACCCUUAAGCUUAGUUGCCAUCAUUAAGUUGGGCACUCUAAGUUGACUGCCGGUGACAAACCGGAGGAAGGUGGGGAUGACGUCAAAUCAUCAUGCCCCUUAUGAUUUGGGCUACACACGUGCUACAAUGGACAAUACAAAGGGCAGCGAAACCGCGAGGUCAAGCAAAUCCCAUAAAGUUGUUCUCAGUUCGGAUUGUAGUCUGCAACUCGACUACAUGAAGCUGGAAUCGCUAGUAAUCGUAGAUCAGCAUGCUACGGUGAAUACGUUCCCGGGUCU
Molecule: ribosomal RNA, 1371 nt
Filed under: uncultured bacterium
Lineage: Bacteria
Description: bacterial SSU rRNA
Rfam family: Bacterial small subunit ribosomal RNA
Source: RNAcentral